GGUUAUUUUUUGCUCUCACUCGGCUCCUCUUCCACAUGCGAGCACACACGCACCACACACACACACACACACACGCUCACUCACGCUGCAUCCCUCCCGUUCUGUUGCACUUAAGUCCAGAUUAGCUCUGACCAUUCCCGCACGCGAGCGGAGAGCGACGCAACACCGCGCUGCCUAAGACCAUAGAAACUGCCACAGAGGUGGGGGGCAGAGACCGUCUUCAAGGUUGCUGUCAUCUGGAAUUUUAUGUCCUUCAUUUUCUUUCACUCUGUAUGCCUGUCACAUCGGCUUAACUACCAGAGAAGACCCCGUUUGCCUUACAGCCUGUCUGGUUUCUUCCAGCCUUAUUAGCUGAUGUAAAGAAAGAAGAUAGGACUUCCUACAGUCCCGGGCAUUGCUCUGCAACUCACCUUGGAGAUUGGAAAGACUGCGGAGCUUUCUGGGAAGAACCUUUCUUUUGCUUUUAUUUCUGCACCCUGUAAGCUGUGUAAUUAAUGCUACACAAGCACAGAUAUGCAUAACUCUAACGAGUGACUAUUUUUCAGAAUCAAUGCCAUAAAUGCAGCCUAUUGUGAUUUGUGGUUUUAAGCUGCGCAGCAGAGGCUGAUCAGCACUGCAUCCGCAGUCUAGAGGCAAACUCCUGUGUUUAUACAGGCAAAUUACGGGUCUGGAUGAACAGCGAGAGCAAGCUCUUCA
Chroicocephalus ridibundus (black-headed gull) is the source of this 696-nucleotide long non-coding RNA. RefSeq lists it as uncharacterized. The transcript is spliced from 3 exons. NCBI's taxonomy places the organism in Eukaryota, Metazoa, Chordata, Aves, Charadriiformes, Laridae. The record is from RefSeq and is a predicted model, not a curated record.